RNAcentral lists this ribosomal RNA (505 nucleotides) under uncultured bacterium. RNAcentral's name for it is "partial 16S ribosomal RNA". It matches the Rfam family "Bacterial small subunit ribosomal RNA", at positions 28 to 507 of the family's 1533-position model. The record is from RNAcentral.
GACGAACGCUGGCGGCGUGCCUAAUACAUGCAAGUAGAACGCACAGUUUAUACCGUAGCUUGCUACACCAUAAACUGUGAGUUGCGAACGGGUGAGUAACGCGUAGGUAACCUGCCUGGUAGCGGGGGAUAACUAUUGGAAACGAUAGCUAAUACCGCAUAAUAUUGAUUAUUGCAUGAUAAUUGAUUGAAAGAUGCUAUUGCAUCACUACCAGAUGGACCUUCGUUGUAUUAGCUAGUAGGUGAGGUAACGGCUCACCUAGGCGACGAUACAUAGCCGACCUGAGAGGGUGAUCGGCCACACUGGGACUGAGACACGGCCCAGACUCCUACGGGAGGCAGCAGUAGGGAAUCUUCGGCAAUGGACGAAAGUCUGACCGAGCAACGCCGCGUGAGUGAAGAAGGGUUUCGGAUCGUAAGGCUCUGUUGUAAGAGAAGAACGGGUGUGAGAGUGGAAAGUUCACACUGUGACGGUAUCUUACCAGAAAGGGACGGCUAACUACGUG